Molecule: transfer RNA, 65 nt
Filed under: Cavia porcellus (domestic guinea pig)
Lineage: Eukaryota; Metazoa; Chordata; Mammalia; Rodentia; Caviidae
Rfam family: tRNA
About the family: Transfer RNA (tRNA) molecules are approximately 80 nucleotides in length. Their secondary structure includes four short double-helical elements and three loops (D, anti-codon, and T loops).
Source: Rfam by way of RNAcentral
GGGGAUUUAGCUUAGUGGUACAAGCACCUGCUUGGCAAGCACAAGGUCAUUGAGUUCAAUCUCCA